AUACGAAGGGGGCAAGCGUUGUUCGGAAUAACUGGGCGUAAAGCGCGCGUAGGCGGAAUGUUAAGUUAGAGGUGAAAUCCCAGGGCUCAACCCUGGAGCUGCCUUUAAUACUGGCAAUCUAGAGACCGAGAGAGGUGAGUGGAAUUCCGAGUGUAGAGGUGAAAUUCGUAGAUAUUCGGAGGAACACCAGUGGCGAAGGCGGCUCACUGGCCCGAUACUGACGCUGAGGCGCGAAAGCGUGGGGAGCAAACAGGAUUAGAAACCCUAGUAGUCC
This 274-nucleotide ribosomal RNA is filed under the name uncultured bacterium. RNAcentral describes it as "partial 16S ribosomal RNA". It matches the Rfam family "Bacterial small subunit ribosomal RNA", at positions 523 to 796 of the family's 1533-position model. The record is from RNAcentral.